RNAcentral lists this ribosomal RNA (467 nucleotides) under uncultured bacterium. Its description in RNAcentral is "partial 16S ribosomal RNA". It matches the Rfam family "Bacterial small subunit ribosomal RNA", at positions 28 to 507 of the family's 1533-position model. The record is from RNAcentral.
GAUGAACGCUGACAGAAUGCUUAACACAUGCAAGUCAACUUGAAUUUGGGUUUUUAACUUAGGUUUGGGUGGCGGACGGGUGAGUAACGCGUAAAGAACUUGCCUCACAGCUAGGGACAACAUUUGGAAACGAAUGCUAAUACCUAAUAUUAUGAUAAUAGGGCAUCCUAUAAUUAUGAAAGCUAUAAGCGCUGUGAGAGAGCUUUGCGUCCCAUUAGCUAGUUGGAGAGGUAACGGCUCACCAAGGCGAUGAUGGGUAGCCGGCCUGAGAGGGUGAUCGGCCACAAGGGGACUGGGACACGGCCCUUACUCCUACGGGAGGCAGCAGUGGGGAAUAUUGGACAAUGGACCGAGAGUCUGAUCCAGCAAUUCUGUGUGCACGAUGAAGUUUUUCGGAAUGUAAAGUGCUUUCAGUUGGGAAGAAACAAAUGACGGUACCAACAGAAGAAGUGACGGCUAAAUACGUG